CGGGGGUAAAAAUAAAAUGUUUCCAUCCCCAGCCAAUCCCUGGAAAGGCAGAAGGGCACUCCUCCAAUGGGAGCCGGGGAGCCGUCGGUAGCGGCGUAGGCCCGUGCCCCUGCUCGCGCUGCAGCCCGUGGAAGGGUUCCGUCCAGCGUAUCCUUCAGAUCUUGCUGUAGGCCUCUGGUGUCUGUGCGCGCGCGGCAGGGGCGGCGGCGGCGACGGCCGGAGGUGUACGGUCAGCGGGUUGCGGAGGAUCGUGCGGGUCGCAAAGGGAAGCCGAGUGCUCCUGCGGCUCCCAGACUGCAACCAGGAACUAACCUGUCAGGUACUGAGAGGCUUUGAAGAUGGCUCUUCAGGUUGGGGACACACCUUUAUUAAGGGGCAAGACUGCUGCCAGGAGUUGAUUCACAUACUCAGAGGUGUAAAUCCAAACCGCUUCCAACUCAAGGCAAGUAACAGCCCACGGUGUUCUGGCAGGAAAACAUCAGCUAAGAAAGGAAACUGGGUCCUAUGGCUUGGACUUUCCAACUCUGACAGACCGGCAGGACAGAAACAACUGGUUCAGGAGCCCUUGCCAGCCUCUAGAGAAAUCCCAGAACACUCAGCCCUGAUGACACAUUAAUACCCUGCACAUAUUGGAGACUGCUGACCACGCAUACUCACCAAGCCACAGACUUGUCUUCCACAAGCACGUUCUUACCUCAGCCACAAAGUGCCCAAGCCACAUGUACUAAAGGUUGAAAUCAGAGACAUGUACAGGGUAUUAAACAGAUACCAAGGGGAACAGUUAACUUGAAUAUAGCUUGAAUAGAAAGUCAAAAUCAGCAACAAGUCUACAAUCCAGUGCUGAUAUCAGAUACAAGCUUCAAGGACAACUUUCUGUGUAUGUUUUUUUUUUUUUUUUUGAGACGUAGUCUCGCCCUGUUGCCCAGGCUGGAGUGCAGUGGUGCAAUCUCGGCUCACCACAACCUCUGCCUCCCAGGUUCAAGUGAUUCUCCUGCCUCAGCCUCCCCAGUAGCUGGGAUUAUAGGCGAAUGCCACCAUGCCUGGCUAAUUUUUGUAUUUUUAGUAGAGACGGGGUUUCAGCAUGUUGGCCAGGCCGGUCUCAAACUCCUGACCUUGUGAUCCACCCGUCUCGGCCUCCCAAAGUGCUGGGAUUAUAGGCGUGAGCCACCACUUCUGGCCACAAAUUUCUUUUUGAAGGCUUAUUCCAGUUUUGUGAGGCUAGCAUGAGGUGUAUGCAUUUGCCAGGGGCAAAUUUAUACUGCUGAAUUAACCCAUGCAACAAAUGCUGCACAUCUGCUCGCAGUCCAUUUAGAGGCAUUUGCGGUAGACAAUGGAGGGGCCAGACUCAUCAUACAUACCUGAUGGCUAACCCACAUGCUUGCAGUCCAUUUAGAGGCAUUUGCAGUGGAUGAUGGAGGGGCCACAUACCUAAUUGCUAAUCCACAUCUGCUGGAAGGUGGACAGUGAGGCCAGGAUGGAACCACCAAUCCACACCGAGUACUUGUGCUCUGGGGGCAUGAUGAACUUGAUCUUCAUGGU
Molecule: long non-coding RNA, 1539 nt
Filed under: Homo sapiens (human)
Lineage: Eukaryota; Metazoa; Chordata; Mammalia; Primates; Hominidae
Description: HSALNT0282736
Source: RNAcentral